UUUGGUCAUUUUGCUUGGUCUUGCAUUUGACUAAUUGUGAGCUUGACACAUGGGGGUUCACAUGGCCACAUAUUGUGUGUGUGUGUGAUGACUUGUGUAUUGCAUUGAGGGGGAUAGACAUAAAAACAAUUCAGCAGAAACCAAUUUCGUGCAUUUGGCUUCUUCUUUAUAGUCACUUUAUAUUGCUCCAUUUGAGGUCUUUUUGUUAGGAAUUUGAGAGGGGUGUGUGAAUGAAAGAGGUUCCUAAGGGAGAGAGAGCUUCCUUGUGGUUAAGAGUUGUGCACAGUUUAUUAAUUCUGGGCUGUCAAAAAGGGUGUUGAAAGAAGAGGUGUGGGUGUAUUUUAUAAAGGAAAGUGUUCUUCACCUUCUAGUUGUUGAUUUUGAUCCAUUUUUGGUGUGGUUUUGAAUUGUUUAGCAAGUGUUCAAGCUUCUCUUGAGGGAGGUGCCUUGUAUCCGUGAGUUAGGGAAUUGAAUCAAUGAUUUUAAAACCGGACAAGGAGUUGCCUUAUCUGUGCAGUUAAUGGGAAUCUAAAGGAGACGUUGUGUCACUAGAGCCCCAAAAUGAUCACAAGGAGUGGCCUUGUAUCAGGGAUAGAUUAGUAACUCUCUUCUCGUGGUACUGGGGAGCAGCCUUGGGCGGAUUACAUUAAUUUUUUGUGAUGGAAAUGGGAUUUUGGGAAGUGAGAGGUGUCAGUGACAUUAGUAUUGGCAUUGGCAUUGCAUGACACUUCAUUUUAUUAUCUCAUAUAAUAUGUUGCUUUCCCGAGCCUGUAUGACUCCUUUAUCUUUUAUCUGUUCUUUGUUUGGAUUCACGGAGGUAUUAAGGAGUGCGCUUUAGGCAAUUCCUACUGAGCUGUGGUUGUUCAUUCCUAUUUUAUUCAAAUCUUUUCAAGUCAUAGCAUAGAUGGUGUGGAGGGUGUUCUUCCUCAGCUGUAGACAGAGUCUGGGCUGGUGUUGUUGUGUUUUAUUCUGUAUAAUAGACUAUGUUUUGUAUUAUAUAUUUUUAAGAGUAUUUCUGGCAUGUAAUAAAUGUUAUUUCGGACUUUAAAACUUUAAUGUUGUAAUAUGUGCAUCUUAUCUAUUUA
This is a long non-coding RNA of Cornus florida, 1085 nucleotides long. RefSeq lists it as uncharacterized. NCBI's taxonomy places the organism in Eukaryota, Viridiplantae, Streptophyta, Magnoliopsida, Cornales, Cornaceae. The record is from RefSeq and is a predicted model, not a curated record. The transcript is spliced from 2 exons.